AUUACAUCCAUUGUAAUGUUUAAUCAAUAUUGUUGUUGUACUUUAGGAUAGUUGGUGAAAUAAUGGCAGUGAGCAUUACUCAGGAUGGACCUUUUUCAUGGAGUGGAUUUACAAUUUCAUUUCUUCCGGGAGAUUAAUAAAGAUGAGCUGACAUAACAGAUGCAGACCUGCUAGAUCUGAUUGACAAGAUUGAGACUGCAGACACUACAGCCUUGCUUGAGCUUUCUGAAAGAAUCGUAGCAUGUGGUACACAGGAUCCUAACAUGUGAUGAAAGGAAGACAUUGUCAGGAGUGAGGACUUUGACAGAACGGGGCACAAUGUCCGGCUUAAAGAUGGUGCUGUGCCAAACAUUUUUAACUUUCCAGCUCAUCUUCAAAGGGUCUGUGUAUCACUGACCAACAAUAAUUCAAGGUGUAUAAGAUUGAUAUAUCAA
Long non-coding RNA from Carassius carassius (crucian carp), 434 nucleotides. RefSeq lists it as uncharacterized. The record is from RefSeq and is a predicted model, not a curated record. Lineage: Eukaryota; Metazoa; Chordata; Actinopteri; Cypriniformes; Cyprinidae. The transcript is spliced from 3 exons.